AGUGAACGCUGGCGGUAGGCCUAACACAUGCAAGUCGAACGGCAGCACAGUAAGAGCUUGCUCUUACGGGUGGCGAGUGGCGGACGGGUGAGGAAUACAUCGGAAUCUACUUUUUCGUGGGGGAUAACGUAGGGAAACUUACGCUAAUACCGCAUACGACCUACGGGUGAAAGCAGGGGAUCUUCGGACCUUGCGCGAUUGAAUGAGCCGAUGUCGGAUUAGCUAGUUGGCGGGGUAAAGGCCCACCAAGGCGACGAUCCGUAGCUGGUCUGAGGGGAUGAUCAGCCACACUGGAACUGAGACACGGUCCAGACUCCUACGGGAGGCAGCAGUGGGGAAUAUUGGACAAUGGGCGCAAGCCUGAUCCAGACAUACCGCGUGGGUGAAGAAGGCCUUCGGGUUGUAAAGCCCUUUUGUUGGGAAAGAAAAGCAGCAGGUUAAUACCCCGCUGUUCUGACGGUACCCAAAGAAUAAGCACCGGCUAACUUCGUG
RNAcentral lists this ribosomal RNA (492 nucleotides) under uncultured bacterium. Its description in RNAcentral is "partial 16S ribosomal RNA". It matches the Rfam family "Bacterial small subunit ribosomal RNA", at positions 29 to 507 of the family's 1533-position model. The record is from RNAcentral.